Hipposideros armiger (great roundleaf bat) is the source of this 5302-nucleotide long non-coding RNA. RefSeq lists it as uncharacterized. The transcript is spliced from 5 exons. The record is from RefSeq and is a predicted model, not a curated record. Lineage: Eukaryota; Metazoa; Chordata; Mammalia; Chiroptera; Hipposideridae.
AAAAUCUUGUGUGUGUGUGUGUGUGUGUGUGUGUGUGUGUGUGAGAGAGAGAGAGAGAGAGAGAGAGAGAGAGAGAGGGAGAGAGGGAAAGGAGGCAAAGGGGAGCUUCUUUGGUUCAGAUGGAGUAGUGACCUGGCCGUUUUCCCAGGGCCUCCUCCCCCCCACACAGAUUGCUGAGACACCUCUGCUAUGAAUCCCAAGGAUCUGAAAACCCCUAGCCUGGUCUAGGUGAAUGGAUGGACAUUGAAAAGGAAAGAGGAAAUGAGGGAAAGAUGGAAGGAAGGAAGAAAGGAAGGAAGGAAGGAAAGAAGGAAGGAAGGAAGGUUGCCUUUUAUUGCUACUUCCACAAAAUUACUAUGAGAACCAAUAAGAAAAUGUAUAUUUGAGUCAUAAAUUGGAGCUUCCUCUUUUUGUUGGGCAAGGCCACACUUUGAUUCUUUUUUACGCCAAUAAAACAAAUCAUGAUGCACCAAGAGACUAAAGGGGCAGUAAGCAUAUGGGCUCUGGAGCCAGACUGCAUGGGUUUGAAUCCUGGCCCUGCUACUUAGGAGCUGUGUGAUGCUGGAAAAGUUACUUAACUUCUCUGUCUCAGUUUCAUUAGUGACAGGCAGUGUCAGCAGUACCUACCUCAUGUGGUUGUGAGAAUCAUGUCAGCUGAUAUCUGGUGUUUAGAACAGUUUUGGCUAUGUAGUAAUGACUUAAUUUAGCUGUUGUUAUGUUAUAGGUACAUAAGUGUACAAUGCUAUGUUCUAUACAUAGGAUUGCCAGCCUCAGGUCACAUCCUGUCUCACCUAACAGCCCCAGAAGUCGCUUAGCUCUCCCACUGAGGGCAGACGGGCCUCUGUGAACAUGGUGGGUAACUGAGGAUGGGGUGAGAUUUUUUAGGCCUUUUAUUGUUUUGCUUGGGGCAGAAGGCAUCUAUAGUGACAUCCAGUCACCAUCUUAUUGUACAGUUGUGAGACACUGAAAGAUAAGCCUUGACCUAAUUGCCAUGAUCUAGUGAUGUAUUAAUAUAUAUAAACCCAAGGUGGACGGAGCCUCCAAGGUGAUAAGUGAACUCCUUCCUCACAGCAGGUAUAUGCCAAACUCAGAGAAAGGGCACUAGACUGGUGUGUCUUGCCUAAAAUUCACAGUCCCUUUCUCUUGACCCCACCUGCUUCCCAAGGGUAAUGGGUGUCUUGAGGUCUCAGGUCCUUUAUAGGGGAUUUUCCAAGGUUCUCCUCUAACAAGCAUGAGGUUCUCCAUAUGGAAGGGGUUGGUAUUAUGAAGACACAGGUGAGAGCUGCCAGCAGAGUAAUGACCACAACCCCUACACCCCGUGUUUACAUCUCCCUGAUGUCACCGAGGGUUUCCAUGAGCCUGUAAAAUGGAGUGUGGGGUCAUUUCCCAUAGUAGUUUGCCAUCUACUCUGGAUGUCCGAACUCACAAGCUAACCUCUGAGGUACAGACUGAGCCUGUUGUCAGGGAGGGAAGGGUAGGUGGGAGACUCUGUGGCAGAGGAAGCUGGAGGGUAGAGAAGGAAGUGUGGCCAGUCACAGACGUGGAGUUGGGAGUAGCUGUGCCAGGGAGGACAGCGACACCAAAAUGACGGCAGUGGCCGAAGUAGCACAUUGGGCUGUGGGUGGGAGGGUCUGGCUAGAGUAAGAGCAAACUUGAAGUCCCAGAAUCCUUUAGACUUAAUUCUAUAGGAAAUGACUUAUGCCCUAUGUAGGAAGCUAGGAAACCCAGCUAGGAAACUUUCCCAGAUGGCGAGAAGGGCAGGGGUUCUUUGAGGGUCCACAGCAGCUCGUGCCAACGUACAGGCAUGGAAGCAGGCAGGUGUGGCCAGCGCAUUCUAAACCACAUUCCUCAUGGUGGGGAGGAUUCCACAUUUCCUACUUCUUCAAGCCUCUUCGGAAACCUCUUGGCCAUGAGCACAGAUAACCCACUGCCUGUCAGAGCAGAGACUGAGACACUGCUCUAAAGAGCUUCACUCUGAGAGCUGCCCUGGAACCCCUGGGGAGUGAGACUUCGCACAUGGGCUGCCUGGCCCUUCAUUCAGCGACCUGGCUUCUAAAGUUGGUUCUUUCCUCCGUAUCUCAUAAAGAGGAAAAGGAUCUGCCUAAGAGAGGUUAUUGGGCAAACAGCCAGUUUGUUAGGCACGGGCUGAUAGAGUCAGAUGGUAGUUCGAUUCCCCCAAUGCUCCUUUAGCCUGUUAGUGAACAGAGGGCUAGAGGAAAUGUGAGGAUGCAGCGGCUUCAAAAAGAGAUAAGCUUAAUCAUUAACCAUGUGAGAAAGAAGGACUGAGAGGAGGGAGGAAGAAGACUUGAACCUGAGACAAAAGGAAGUGGCCUGCCCCAGAGGAGACAUCAGGUGUGUGGUGUCCCAUGUAUACCUAAUUCUCUGAGAGGGUCGCCUUUGCCAAGAAUGAAGAGUGGGUGGCAAACAGGUCAAGGGUACGCUAAGGGGCGGGGCAGCCUGCCUCCCCAUGGGUACUGAGCAUCCUGACUCUCUCCCCACUCUCUCCAGAGCCACUGCCAUCAUCUUUUGUCCUCCAAGUGUCCUCCACCCACCAAGCCUACCUCUAGUUCUCUUUCUCCCUGGGGCUGUGAGAAUGGCUGGGCGCCCAGCAGAGCCUGGACUUCAGCCUCAGUUCCUGGUCCCCAGUGUGUAUGUGUGAGUGUGUGUGAGUGCGUGUGCAGGGCCUGGGAUCAUCUACAGCACAGAUCAGAACACAGGAGUAGACAGCUCCUAGAGGGUGACCCAUGCAUGGGUCAUACCCUACACCAUGGAGCCCAGAUGACCUAUUACUAGGACCCACCACCAGCCUCACACCUGAGCGGCCAGAGCAGCAUCAGUCGCUGACCGGAGGAGCACAUCAUGGGCCCUCACAUCAUGUCCCAGUUGGAGCCUCUGAGGCUGGAAGGACCCCUCGCCACCUACAACCUGGGCCUGGUGGUUCUCUCAGGGUACAUCUUCUAUGAGUGAAGCAUGGUGUUCUCGGCGUGGUAUGAGGACCUGCGCAUCUCAUCCUCAUGACAGCGCUGUCAGGAGGCACAGAGGGGCGUCUUCCUGCAGACAGGUGGGCACUGUGGGAGCAGUGGGUGGCGCAGAACACGGAGUGGACUGGGGCUGACGCCAGGGCGAGCUGUGCGCCCGGGACAGAGGUCUGACUGCACAACCUCGUCCUUCCCAGCAGAUGGCGAGCGUGCGCCGGUAACGCUCCUCAAAGGCCUUUGACUUGCUUGACCGGGUAAGGGCCUGGUCGCUUAGGCGCUUGUGCGAGUUACCUCUGUCAUCUGGGUCUGGGGUGGUGUAUACGCAGCGUCCUGUGUGAACACUUCCCUCCAGCCUCCCGGUGGGAUGUUCUCAUGAUUUGCCCCGGCAGCCGCGGCUGAGGCUGAUGUCAGAGCAAAGCCUUAGUCCCAGUACCUGGUGGAGGAAGAACACUCACCGAUGCAGCAUCUCACUGCCACAGGUGAGAUGGGCCCCCACUCUUCACCCACGCAGCUGCAUAAAAGUAGGAAUUUGCCCCAUUAGCAACCAGGUUCCAGGUUCCAUGAAAAUGAAAGAGAAACAGAUUUUCAAAAAUUGAUAUUAUGUGGCAAGGGUCAUCAGACAGCAAAAAGUCCUUUAGUGUUAAUGAGGAGAAGAAACCCUGCUUGUGAAUCCAGAAGGUUCACAGGAUUGAGUGGGGGUGGGGCAUGGUCAUGAUUUGAGGGAAGUGAGGAAAGGGAGGGGCCUCUUUCUUAUCAAUUCCUUACCAAAAUGGAGUCGGAGUAGAGAACCUUCCAGAAUUGAUCUUACGAUCACCUGGGUCCUGGGAUGGGUGUUCAACAACUGAGUUCUCCCACCCUCCUAGAUGGGAUAGGAAAGCAGAUAGUAUCAAGCCAGAUUGUAUUCAAAUCCCAGCUUGGACAACUAUUAGUUGUAUAACCUUGGGCAAGUUACUUAACCUCCCUGUGUCUCAGUUUUCCCAUUUGUAAAAUGGAGGUAAGUAUAAAUCACAUAGUACUAUUAUAAGUGUUUAUAUGGUUUUUUAUGCAUACAAAGUAGCUGGCACACAGUAGGUACUAUAAAGGUGUGUGACUAGUGUUAUUUCCCUUGAGUUUCAGUCUCCCCUUUGGUAAAACAGACAGAACUACUCCCUUCUUGGUAGUUGAGGUCCCAGGAGAAGAGUCUGGAGAAACAAGGCCCCCACAGUUGACACCAUCUUUUCUUCCUCUGCAGUUCUGCUUUACAUUACGACAGAAACCAGAGCAGAUCACCUUUCAGCAUGUCUGUGACCAUGACAUCGUGCUCUUCAACUGGUAGGCUGGAGUCAAAUACGUGCCAGGUGGUCAAGGUACAUGACACAGCUGAGGGAAGCCCUACCCAGGCCCUUGUGAGGCAGGCUUCUCUCUGCUGGGCAGAGUUUCCAGCUAGGGAGGUUUCUUUCCUCCAGGGUCAGGGUGUGGCCAUCGCUGCUUACGUCUCCUACCAUCUCUUUGCUGAGUGCUCCUUUUUCAGUGGAUUCAACAUGGCUGUCCUGUACACCCCCAACCUCAUCGCUGUUUUCUUCACCUUCUACCCCCGGACAUACCUGAGGAGCAAGAGGGAGAAGCUGACUUAAGUGGCAGGACGUGAGGACAAAUAUAAGCAGAACAGUCCUACAGAGAGCUGGGUGGAAGACUGCGUGGCUUAUAGCCCACCUGUGCUGAGAAGGUACCUCUGGACUGCAUUUUGUCCUGUGAAGGAAGGAGGAGAAUUGCCUCGUGUCCAGAGCUCAGGAGGACAGAGAUGGAGUCAGCUUCCUGUACUCACUUCUGUUAUGGCACUUCUUACAUGGAUUUGUGACUGUUUGUACAUAUUCUUCCUCUACUAGAUGUGAGCCUCUCAUGGGAGAGGCUGUCUUGUUCUCAAUGUUCCCCACACCUGGCACAGCACCACCAUAAAUGUGUGUUUGGAUCCUCGUAUUCCAUGAUGGGCACUCAUGACCUCUGGGGAAGAUCAGGGCUUGGGGCAUGGAAGACGUCAAGGCUGGCUUGAUAUCUUGCAGUGGGAAAUGAUGACUGAGAAUAUCCAAGAGUGAGUGUGGUCCUGUUUGAUUGCUGGCGUGGCUGUGUAAGUGGUUACCCUACAUAUCUUCUUGUCUGUUCACUGCUGCCUACACGUGUAUUUAUAUAGUUGUAUGAUUCUCUGGGUGCGAGUGAUGUUGCAGAGAAUGUUAUGUGUAUACGUCUAAAUACUUGUUUUCAAAUAUAUAUGCAUGUUCCCAUUUGAUUUUCUCUCUGUGUGUUUGGUUGUCUCUUCUGUGAAUCUCUGAAAGUGCCACACUGGCAAA